AUACAUCACUUUGCUUACGGGCAAUCUGGCCCCCGGAAGCAAAUUAUACACUUUUCUCGCUAAAAUACCAAUUGCCAAUUGUAUUUCCCUUUAAAAAAACGUUAAUAUAUUGCAAGAUUUUUUUGUUAUCAAUCCCCUUUUAAUACAAAUGUCUAACUACGAUGUGGCCCGUGACAAAAAUGAGUUUGACACCCCAGUUGCAGUCACCCUGUGCCCUGACUCAUUUGGCGAUCAGUCCAAGUUGGGGCGCCCUUCUGCUCCCCGUGACCCGGAACGGCAAAAAAUGGUGUCCAAAAUGGGAGGAAUGGAGGAAAAACAAACUUCAAAUCCAAGUCUUCGAAAGAAGGAAAAGGGCUGGCAAUGUUCCUCGAUGACUCGACUUCGAUGAAUGUGACGGCGCGCUGACUCAGUGAGGAAAGGAAACGAGAAGAUACUCCCAGAGCUGAAAGUUCACCCGCAGUGGCUUCAACAAUCAUCUCAGUCCAAAGAGAGAGAGAGGCAGCCUUCACAAAACAUUCGCUGCCAACACUGGUACGUUCCGGGUUUUGCGGCAUUUGCUUCAUUUGUCGUACGACGAGCAUUUGAAAGCGGAUUGAAAGGAUCAACGCAGCCCCUCUGAGGCUCUACCGGCCUUGGCUGAAUUUUUUUUUUUUUUUUUUGAUAAUAACACCUCCCAAAGUAAAAAACAAAACAAAAAAAAAAACAAUCCCGUAUACAUCUGGUUUAACCAUAUAACAAGAGAAGA
Molecule: long non-coding RNA, 745 nt
Organism: Hippocampus comes (tiger tail seahorse)
Lineage: Eukaryota; Metazoa; Chordata; Actinopteri; Syngnathiformes; Syngnathidae
Exons: 2
Source: RefSeq, a predicted model, not a curated record